Molecule: ribosomal RNA, 467 nt
Filed under: uncultured bacterium
Lineage: Bacteria
Description: partial 16S ribosomal RNA
Rfam family: Bacterial small subunit ribosomal RNA
Source: RNAcentral
GAUGAACGCUGGCGGCGCGCCUAACACAUGCCAGUCGAACGAUUAAAGCACCUUCGGGUGUGUAUAAAGUGGCGAACGGCUGAGUAACACGUGGGCAACCUGCCCCUCUCAUUGGGAUAGCCACGGGAAACCGUGGAUAAUACCGAAUACUUCGGGACUUCCGCAUGGAAGACUCGAGAAAGCUCCGGCGGAGAGGGAUGGGCCCGCGGCCUGUUAGCUUGUUGGUGGGGUAAUGGCCUACCAAGGCAAUGAUGGGUAGCUGGGUUGAGAGACCGACCAGCCAGAUUGGGACUGAGACACGGCCCAGACUCCUACGGGAGGCAGCAGUGGGGAAUCUUGGACAAUGGGCGAAAGCCUGAUGCAGCGACGCCGCGUGCGGGAUGAAGGCCUUCGGGUUGUAAACCGCUUUCAGCAGGGACGAGGCGAAAGUGACGGUACCUGCAGAAGAAGCCCCGGCUAACUACGUG